CGACACCAGACACCCAUUGAGAUGCAAUAACUUAUACUGAGAUCUUGAACCAGUGUUUCAAAGAGGGCUAAAUAACUUGUUCAUCUUCUUAUAGUACUAUUGGAAUUUUUUUUUUACCUUUAAUCCUUGGGUGAGGGUUCGAUCACCUGGACCAUGUGUCUUAAGCCAUUCCGUUGCAACUACAUCGUUUCCAAGUGCAUCCUUGGCUGGAGUACCACCACCUCCACCUCCGGUUCUAUAUUUUUCAUAGAAACAUAGAGAUUGUGAAUCAAGAACAUUGAAUUAAAAUCUCAUUAACCUCACAUCUUAGUAACACAAAAGAAGCCAUACAGUGACUCAUACAUAUUGGAACCAGAACCAAAACCAAAAGCUAAUAGCAAUACAAAAGCAAAUUCAAACUUCACCACAUAUAUUUUCAACAUAAUAAUGCGAUCAAUGUUAAUGCCAAAUUCAUGAAUCUCAUUCGAGAACAAAACUGAGGGAGAGAUCAAUGUUCAAAAGAUAUACUCUUAAGGCUUUACACCAACAGAAAGAGUAAAAAAUUGUAAACUUUACCAAAACAAAACAUAAUAAUAACAUCGUAGACUCACCCUGAUGCAAUAAUGUUACAAAGAAAGAAGAAAAUUGGAAUCAAAUCGAAGAAGAGAGUAAGAGUGAACUCACCCAGGAGGAACAAAGAAGGUGCCGUAAGGGACAAGCAUGUAGCCAGUAGGGAGAGAAAGAGCCCCAACAAGAAGAAGAUUCAAAAGCUUUCUCUUUUCCAUGUCUGGAACUCUGUCUGCUGG
Molecule: long non-coding RNA, 785 nt
Filed under: Capsella grandiflora
Lineage: Eukaryota; Viridiplantae; Streptophyta; Magnoliopsida; Brassicales; Brassicaceae
Description: long non-coding RNA (CGRA_LNC001703)
Source: RNAcentral